UGGGGGAUAUUGCACAAUGGGCGAAAGCCUGAUGCAGCGACGUCGCGUGGGGGAUGAAGGCCUUCGGGUUGUAAACUUCUUUUGCCCUGAACAAGGCAUGCUAAUGGGUGUGUCGAGUGCAGGGGUUGAUUAGCGCCGGUUAACUACGUGCCAGCAGCCGCGGUAAUACGUAGGGCGCGAGCGUCGUCCGGAAUUAUUGGGCGUAAAGGGCUUGCAGGUGGCUGGUUGCGUGCGUCGUGAAUGCUCAUGGCUUUACUGGGGGUUUGCGGGAGGAACGGACUGGCUUGACAGCAGUAGAGGGGGCUGGGAUUCCUGGUGUAACGGUGGAAUGCGCGGAUAUCCGGCGGAAAACCGGUGGCAAGGGCAGGUCUCUGGGCUGUUACUGACUCUGAGGAGCGAAAGCAAGGGGAGCGAACGGG
RNAcentral lists this ribosomal RNA (419 nucleotides) under bacterium. RNAcentral's name for it is "partial 16S ribosomal RNA". It matches the Rfam family "Bacterial small subunit ribosomal RNA", at positions 355 to 776 of the family's 1533-position model. The record is from RNAcentral.